Molecule: ribosomal RNA, 873 nt
Filed under: Triticum aestivum (bread wheat)
Lineage: Eukaryota; Viridiplantae; Streptophyta; Magnoliopsida; Poales; Poaceae
Description: partial small subunit ribosomal RNA
Source: RNAcentral
AUGGACACCCAAUCCAUUACCAUCGGAAAAACGCCAAUUCCUAUAACAAAAGAGGACGUGCAGUGUAUAUUUGGCAUUCCGAUAGAAGGGGAGGAUAUAGAGCCACAUCUGGAAAUGCAAACCGACACAGAAUUGUUUACCGCCUAUGCAAACAAUGGGCAAAUUUUGAUUUCUGACCUUGAAACGGCGAUCCGAGCUUCCAAAGCCCCAGACGGCGAUUUCCUGAGACGGUUCAUUCUGUACGCAAUUGGUACUGUUCUAGCACCAACAGCACAACAUUAUGUGGACUCGAAAUUUCUCAACCUUGUUACAGAUCUUCAAAACCUUCGGAAAUUUAACUGGGGAUGUUUCACACUUAAUCACUUCUUCAAGUCCGUUCACAAGUUUAGAAAUCGAGAUCACAUAAAUCUACAAGGAAAUCUAAUUCUGCUCCAGUAUUGGUACUGGGAGCACGUGCGUAGUGGCCGAUUGAUGUAUGCUUCUAGACCCCCUCCAUUGAUCGCACGAUGGGACGAAAUGAUGGCUACUUUAAGAAGCGAUGCUUACGAGAAAGGAGGUCUUCAUAACGGGCUGAUUGACAUGGUAGUUGAAGCCAUGAAUGCACGCUUAGCUGAUCAUGAAAAGAAGGUAGGCAGGAAGUUAAUGGAAAUUGAGCACAGAUUUGAUGUCAAAUACCAGACGCUAGGUGAAGACUUGAUCGACAUGAAGACUAAAACUGGCACUAAUCCUAGGUUGUCGAAGGCCGAGGACGAAAUUAAAGACUUAAGGAGGGAACUACAUGAAUUAAAAUACGAAUUUACAAGCAACCGACAAUUAGUGUCACAGAAAGGAGGCGUGCAGGUGAUCUUUAUGGCCCAACACGUUAAUAUCUAA